UACGUAGGGGGCUAGCGUUAUCCGGAUUUACUGGGCGUAAAGGGUGCGUAGGCGGUCUUUCAAGUCAGGAGUGAAAGGCUACGGCUCAACCGUAGUAAGCUCUUGAAACUGUAAGACUUGAGUGCAGGAGAGGAGAGUGGAAUUCCUAGUGUAGCGGUGAAAUGCGUAGAUAUUAGGAGGAACACCAGUUGCGAAGGCGGCUCUCUGGGCAGUUACUGACGCUGAGGAGCGAAAGCAUGGGUAGCGAACAGGAUUAGAUACCCGGGUAGU
This 270-nucleotide ribosomal RNA is filed under the name uncultured prokaryote. RNAcentral's name for it is "partial 16S ribosomal RNA". It matches the Rfam family "Bacterial small subunit ribosomal RNA", at positions 524 to 794 of the family's 1533-position model. The record is from RNAcentral.